This 254-nucleotide ribosomal RNA is filed under the name uncultured bacterium. RNAcentral's name for it is "partial 16S ribosomal RNA". It matches the Rfam family "Bacterial small subunit ribosomal RNA", at positions 524 to 776 of the family's 1533-position model. The record is from RNAcentral.
GACAGAGGUGCCGAGCGUUAGGCGGAAUCACUGGGCUUAAAGCGCGUGUAGGCGGAUGGGAACGUCGGUCGUUGAAAUCCCCCGGCUUAACCGGGGAACGGGCGCCGAUACGACCCGUCUGGAGGAACGUAGGGGGAGCUGGAACUUCCGGUGGAGCGGUGAAAUGCGUUGAGAUCGGAAGGAACGCCCGUGGCGAAAGCGAGCUCCUGGACGUUUUCUGACGCUGAGACGCGAAAGCCAGGGGAGCGAACGGG